CAGUGCAAUAAAGAAAGAUGUUAAAACAGAGUCGAGAUAGGGGAAUAAUGUUUAAUUGGCUCUCCAGAGUCCACUAAUUUUCAGAAUUGGAAACCUAGUGUUUGAUUUGUUCUUUUUAGUCAGCGAGAAGAAAAAAUAUCCUUCAUAAAUUCUGAAUGACAAAUUUGCCCAUCCUUUUUUGCAUGUGGUUCCAGCAUCCCAGGGAAUCUAAAGUGUCAUUUCCUCUCUGGAAGAAAGGAAGCACAAAACAUGCUAGGACAAAAUUGGAGAAACUGAUUAUUUUACCCAGGCUUUGACUGGAAUGGCAUGAUUCCUUUAAAAAAUUCAAGCUUGACUUAUACAGCCAAUUAAGCCCUGUUGGGGAAUCUGGUCUCAUACCUUGUCCACACAGAGUCCUUGUACAAGUUUCCCGACCUGUGAAAGAAGAAAGAGCUUUAACAGACAUUUGAUAAUGAAUUGUUACUUCUUACUCAUGUUUAUAUAUAAACUCUUGACUGUCAAUGCUAUAAAAGACAAUUCAAAAGGAAGAAAUGCAGUUAUAUUGAAACACCAUUCAAAACAUCACAACAAGAAAUGCAGUCUACUAUAAACU
This 592-nucleotide long non-coding RNA is filed under the name Homo sapiens (human). RNAcentral describes it as "HSALNT0090850". The record is from RNAcentral. Lineage: Eukaryota; Metazoa; Chordata; Mammalia; Primates; Hominidae.